This 254-nucleotide ribosomal RNA is filed under the name uncultured bacterium. Its description in RNAcentral is "partial small subunit ribosomal RNA". It matches the Rfam family "Bacterial small subunit ribosomal RNA", at positions 26 to 285 of the family's 1533-position model. The record is from RNAcentral.
AGGACGAACGCUGGCGGCAUGCUUAACACAUGCAAGUCGAGCGGAAAGGCCCUUCGGGGUACUCGAGCGGCGAACGGGUGAGUAACACGUGAGUAAUCUGCCCCUAGCUCUGGGAUAGCUCCGGGAAACCGGGAUUAAUACCGGAUACGACCACCUUAGACAUCUUUUGUGGUGGAAAGAAUUUCGGCUAGGGAUGAGCUCGCGGCCUAUCAGCUUGUUGGUGGGGUAACGGCCUACCAAGGCGACGACGGGUA